GCCUGUGACAAAAAAAGGCACAUGCGCCAGACUUGGAAUCUGGUGACACAGGUCGUGUAGGUUCGAGUCCUAUCAGGCGCA
This 81-nucleotide transfer RNA is filed under the name Muribaculaceae bacterium. RNAcentral describes it as "tRNA-Pro". It matches the Rfam family "tRNA". From Rfam's summary of the family: Transfer RNA (tRNA) molecules are approximately 80 nucleotides in length. Lineage: Bacteria; Pseudomonadati; Bacteroidota; Bacteroidia; Bacteroidales; Muribaculaceae. The record is from RNAcentral.